AAUCAACGCUGGCGGCGUGCCUCAGACAUGCAAGUCGAACGCGAAAGGCCCCUUCGGGGGCCGAGUAGAGUGGCGCACGGGUGAGUAACACGUGGGUAAUUUACCUUCGGGUGGGGAAUAACAGCCGGAAACGGCUGCUAAUACCGCAUAAUGCAGCGGCUCCUCAUGGAGACAGUUGUUAAAGCGGGGGAUUCUUCGGAACCUCGCGCCUGAAGAGAAGCCCGCGGCGGAUUAGCUAGUUGGUAGGGUAACGGCCUACCAAGGCGACGAUCCGUAG
This 277-nucleotide ribosomal RNA is filed under the name uncultured bacterium. RNAcentral's name for it is "partial 16S ribosomal RNA". It matches the Rfam family "Bacterial small subunit ribosomal RNA", at positions 32 to 286 of the family's 1533-position model. The record is from RNAcentral.